This 1372-nucleotide ribosomal RNA is filed under the name uncultured bacterium. RNAcentral describes it as "bacterial SSU rRNA". It matches the Rfam family "Bacterial small subunit ribosomal RNA", at positions 28 to 1381 of the family's 1533-position model. The record is from RNAcentral.
GAUGAACGCUGGCGGCGUGCCUAAUACAUGCAAGUCGAGCGAACGGACGAGAACCUUGCUUCUCUGAUGUUAGCGGCGGACGGGUGAGUAACACGUGGAUAACCUACCUAUAAGACUGGGAUAACUUCGGGAAACCGGAGCUAAUACCGGAUAAUAUUUUGAACCGCAUGGUUCAAAAGUGAAAGACGGUCUUGCUGUCACUUAUAGAUGGAUCCGCGCUGCAUUAGCUAGUUGGUAAGGUAACGGCUUACCAAGGCAACGAUGCAUAGCCGACCUGAGAGGGUGAUCGGCCACACUGGAACUGAGACACGGUCCAGACUCCUACGGGAGGCAGCAGUAGGGAAUCUUCCGCAAUGGGCGAAAGCCUGACGGAGCAACGCCGCGUGAGUGAUGAAGGUCUUCGGAUCGUAAAACUCUGUUAUUAGGGAAGAACAUAUGUGUAAGUAACUGUGCACAUCUUGACGGUACCUAAUCAGAAAGCCACGGCUAACUACGUGCCAGCAGCCGCGGUAAUACGUAGGUGGCAAGCGUUAUCCGGAAUUAUUGGGCGUAAAGCGCGCGUAGGCGGUUUUUUAAGUCUGAUGUGAAAGCCCACGGCUCAACCGUGGAGGGUCAUUGGAAACUGGAAAACUUGAGUGCAGAAGAGGAAAGUGGAAUUCCAUGUGUAGCGGUGAAAUGCGCAGAGAUAUGGAGGAACACCAGUGGCGAAGGCGACUUUCUGGUCUGUAACUGACGCUGAUGUGCGAAAGCGUGGGGAUCAAACAGGAUUAGAUACCCUGGUAGUCCACGCCGUAAACGAUGAGUGCUAAGUGUUAGGGGGUUUCCGCCCCUUAGUGCUGCAGCUAACGCAUUAAGCACUCCGCCUGGGGAGUACGACCGCAAGGUUGAAACUCAAAGGAAUUGACGGGGACCCGCACAAGCGGUGGAGCAUGUGGUUUAAUUCGAAGCAACGCGAAGAACCUUACCAAAUCUUGACAUCCUUUGACAACUCUAGAGAUAGAGCCUUCCCCUUCGGGGGACAAAGUGACAGGUGGUGCAUGGUUGUCGUCAGCUCGUGUCGUGAGAUGUUGGGUUAAGUCCCGCAACGAGCGCAACCCUUAAGCUUAGUUGCCAUCAUUAAGUUGGGCACUCUAAGUUGACUGCCGGUGACAAACCGGAGGAAGGUGGGGAUGACGUCAAAUCAUCAUGCCCCUUAUGAUUUGGGCUACACACGUGCUACAAUGGACAAUACAAAGGGCAGCGAAACCGCGAGGUCAAGCAAAUCCCAUAAAGUUGUUCUCAGUUCGGAUUGUAGUCUGCAACUCGACUACAUGAAGCUGGAAUCGCUAGUAAUCGUAGAUCAGCAUGCUACGAUGAAUACGUUCCCGGGUCU